AAAUGUAGUUUGUGGUAGUGAGUGGAAGGUUUGGGGCUUUUAUGGGAGUUUGUUUUGGUUUUGUUUUGCUUUGCUUGUGAGUUUUUUUGCUUGCUUUCCUGGGAGGUGGGGGCAGUCCAAGCCCUGGAGAGGAGGUUUUCUGUAACAAGUGAGAACAACAAGAAUUAGCUCUCUCAGCACUUCAACAAGCAGAGAUUUUUGUCUGUAAUGAGAAGAAUGAGACUUGUUUGACAUAAACUACAAAACAACACAGCAAAGAUGAAGAAGGAGGGCAGAAAUACAUUACUGAAGGAAAGAGAUGUGCAUGAUUUCCUCUCUAGGAAAGGAUGUGUGGGAACAUUCCAGGGCAUUUCAGGACUGACCUAUGCAGCAUUUGGAAGCACUCAGUGUUUCUGUGACAUCACUUCCUAGUCCAUUUGAAAUCAAGGCCAGGCUGAUGGGGUGCUGGGUCCUGGGCUGUGGUCAAGAUGGGACACAGCAAUGAGCUGCAAAGAUCCAAGAGGUGUAACAACAGGUGCCAAUAUUGAGAGGAAGUCAAGCUGACAAAUCUCAGGAAGUGUAAAGGCUUCUCUGGCAUUGUCCCUCAGGGAAACUGGUAAAUUGGUCCUCUUUCUUUGAAUCUUUAAACUCUUUAGUAAUAUUAAAAUCAAAUGGGACAGAUGCAAGAGAAAUAAGGCUCCUUUCCAGCUAAGAGAAUAAAAAUUUGGAGCAUGGGCUGUCCAUCCUCCUGGACAUUCUAGAAGAUUAAGCUGAAGCUCCUAAAAGCCAGCUUUCAUCAACCUUAAGACAAACCUCCUAGAAACUUCUAGCAGCUGAUUGCUCUCAUGGCUGCUCCUUCCACACUUGACUUUUGUGACAGGUUCCUGAUUUCAGCACUAGAGGGGUGAGGGUGACUGCUCUUCUCUUUCUGCUUUCUGUGAUUUACACUCUUCCCAUUAUGAGUGGUUAAUUACAUUAAAAGCAUUGUAAAACUUUGCAUAUGCACAUCUGUGGAAUAAAUCCCCUGCUUCUCCCUAGUAAAAAUGCAGCACAGACUUUUGUAGUGAAAAUUCUCAUGUUGUAGGUACUUUGGUAUGAUUAUUCUAAUAUUAGAAGGUCAUUUUUAUAAGCAUAAGGAGAAAAAGAUAUGAAGGUAUCCCCCUGUUAUAUCUGAAGUCUUUUAUUUAAUAGGUUAAAUGCAGUUGUUCAUUGUGAAAUUAUCCAGGGAAGCUAUUUCCUGUUCUUGCUUUCAUUUUUCAGGUUUAAAUAUGUAUAGCUUUUCAUGGUUUAAAAAAAAAAUAAUUUUUGUCUCCUGCUUUUGAAUUGCAGUUGAAGAAGCCCAUAAUUUGAACCAAGACCAAGAAAUUUAUUAUGCCAAUAGCUUUUCUUUUCCUUUUAAUUUUUUUUAAAUGCAACCUUCUGAAUACAUUAUAGUUUUGCUGUCUACUGGGAAACUGUAUUUCUGUGAA
Zonotrichia albicollis (white-throated sparrow) is the source of this 1448-nucleotide non-coding RNA. Lineage: Eukaryota; Metazoa; Chordata; Aves; Passeriformes; Passerellidae. The record is from RefSeq and is a predicted model, not a curated record.